This 572-nucleotide ribosomal RNA is filed under the name uncultured bacterium. RNAcentral describes it as "partial 16S ribosomal RNA". It matches the Rfam family "Bacterial small subunit ribosomal RNA", at positions 355 to 919 of the family's 1533-position model. The record is from RNAcentral.
UGGGGAAUUUUGGACAAUGGGCGAAAGCCUGAUCCAGCAAUGCCGCGUGUGUGAAGAAGGCCUUCGGGUUGUAAAGCACUUUUGUCCGGAAAGAAAUCCUUGGCUCUAAUACAGUCGGGGGAUGACGGUACCGGAAGAAUAAGCACCGGCUAACUACGUGCCAGCAGCCGCGGUAAUACGUAGGGUGCAAGCGUUAAUCGGAAUUACUGGGCGUAAAGCGUGCGCAGGCGGUUUGCUAAGACCGAUGUGAAAUCCCCGGGCUCAACCUGGGAACUGCAUUGGUGACUGGCAGGCUAGAGUAUGGCAGAGGGGGGUAGAAUUCCACGUGUAGCAGUGAAAUGCGUAGAGAUGUGGAGGAAUACCGAUGGCGAAGGCAGCCCCCUGGGCCAAUACUGACGCUCAUGCACGAAAGCGUGGGGGAGCAAACAGGAUUAGAUACCCUGGUAGUCCACGCCCUAAACGAUGUCAACUAGUUGUUGGGGAUUCAUUUCCUUAGUAACGUAGCUAACGCGUGAAGUUGACCGCCCGGGGAGUACGGUCGCAAGAUUAAAACUCAAAGGAAUUGACGGGGU